RNAcentral lists this ribosomal RNA (252 nucleotides) under Triticum aestivum (bread wheat). Its description in RNAcentral is "partial small subunit ribosomal RNA". The record is from RNAcentral. Lineage: Eukaryota; Viridiplantae; Streptophyta; Magnoliopsida; Poales; Poaceae.
AUGGCUCGUAUCGCCGCACCAUGGGUGGCCCUUCUUCUUGUCCUCGUUUCGCUGCUCGCCUCCGCCGCCGCGACGUCGUCGGGGGAGCCGCAUUGCUGCGUAGACCACCACGUGUGGGGCAACGCGCUGGAGAACAAGGGGUGCAAGCGGGAGGAGAAGGACGACGAGUGCGACGCAUGGUGCCAGUCGGCCUGCCGCGGCGGCGAGUGCAAGAGGCGCGACAGGCUGCACUACUGCCACUGCUACUGCUGA